GGGGUGUAGAGUUGUAGUGGUGGUGUAGUAGUGGUGUAGUGUAGGUGUAGAGCUAUAUUGGUGGUGUAGUAGAGGUGUAGUGGUGGUGUAGUAGAGGUGUAGUGGUGGUGUUGUAGAGGUGUAGUGGUGGUGUAGUAGAGGUGUAGUGGUGGUGGUGUUGUAGAGGUGUAGUGGUGAUGUAGUAGAGGUGUAGUGGUGGUGUAGUAGAAGUGUAGUGGUAGUGUAGUAGAGGUUUAGUGGUCGUGUAGUAGGAGUGUAGUGGUGGUAUAGUGGUGGUGUAGUAGAAGUGUAGUGGUAGUGUAGUAGAGGUGUAGUGGUGGUGUAGUGGUGUAGUGGUGGUGUAGUAGAGGUGUAGUGGUGGUGUAGUAGAGGGUAGAGGUGUAGUGGUGGUGUAGUGGUGGUGUAGUGGUGGUGUAGAGGUGUAGUAGAGGUGUAGUAGAGGUGUAGUGGUGGUGUAGUAGAGGUGUAGUGGUGGUGUAGUAGAGGUCUAGUGGUGGUGUAGUAGAGGUGCAGUGGUGGUGUAGUAGAAGUGUCGUGGUGGUGUUGUAAAGGUAUUGUGGUAGUGUAGUAGAGGUGUAGUGGUGGUGUAGUAGAGGUGUAGUGGUGGUGUAGUAGAGGUCUAGUGGUGGUGUAGUAGAGGUCUAGUGGUGGUGUAGUAGAGGUGUAGUGGUGGUGUAGUAGAGGUGUAGUGGUGGUGUAGUAGAGGUCUAGUGGUGGUGUAGUAGAGGUCUAGUGGUGGUGUAGUAGAGGUGUAGUGGUGGUGUAGUAGAGGUGCAGUGGUGGUGUAGUAGAAGUGUAGUGGUGGUGUAGUAGAGGCAUAGUGGUUGUGUAGUGGAGGUGUAAAGGUGUAGAGGAGAUGUAGUGGUGUAGUGUUGGUGAAGAGGUGUAGUGGUGGUGUUGUAGAGGUGUAGAGGUGGUGUAGUGGAUGUGUAGUGGUGGUGUAGUGGUGGUGUAGUGGUUGGGUGGUGUUGUUGAGGUGUGGUGGUGGUAUGGUGGUCUUGUUUUAGAGGUGUGUUGGUGGUGUAGAGGUGUAUUGGUGGUGUAGAGGUGGUGUACUGGUGGUGUAGUGGUGUUGAAGUAGAGGUGUUGUUGUGUAGUAGAGGUGUAGUGGUGGUGGUGUAGAGGUGUAGUGGUGGUGUUGUAGAGGUGUAGUGGAUGUGUAGUAGAGGUGCAGUAGAGGUGUAGUGGUGGUGUUGUAGAGGUGUUGUGGUGGUGUAGUAGAGGUGUAGUGGUGGUGUUGUAGAGGUGUCGUGGUGGUGUAGUAGAGGUGUAGUGGUGGUGCAGUGGUGGUGUAGUGGUGCUGUAGUAGAGGUGUAGUAGAGGUGUAGUGGUGGUGUUGUAGAGGUGUAGUAGUGGUGUAGUAGAGGUGGGGGGGGCUGUAGUAGAGGUGUAGUUGUCUAGUGUAGUGGUGGUGUCGUUGUGAAGUUGUCUAAUAUAGUGGUGUUGUAGGUGUGUAGUGUAGUGGUGGUGCAGUUGUGCAGUUGCCUAUUGUAGUGGUGGUGUAGUUGUGUAGUUGUCUAUUUUUGU
Molecule: long non-coding RNA, 1527 nt
Organism: Oncorhynchus tshawytscha (Chinook salmon)
Lineage: Eukaryota; Metazoa; Chordata; Actinopteri; Salmoniformes; Salmonidae
Source: Ensembl